GAUGAACGCUGGCGGCGUGCCUAAUACAUGCAAGUCGAGCGAACAGACGAGGAGCUUGCUCCUCUGACGUUAGCGGCGGACGGGUGAGUAACACGUGGAUAACCUACCUAUAAGACUGGGAUAAAUUCGGGAAACCGGAGCUAAUACCGGAUAAUAUAUUGAACCGCAUGGUUCAAUAGUGAAAGACGGCUUUGCUGUCACUUAUAGAUGGAUCCGCGCCGCAUUAGCUAGUUGGUAAGGUAACGGCUUACCAAGGCAACGAUGCGUAGCCGACCUGAGAGGGUGAUCGGCCACACUGGAACUGAGACACGGUCCAGACUCCUACGGGAGGCAGCAGUAGGGAAUCUUCCGCAAUGGGCGAAAGCCUGACGGAGCAACGCCGCGUGAGUGAUGAAGGUCUUCGGAUCGUAAAACUCUGUUAUUAGGGAAGAACAAAUGUGUAAGUAACUAUGCACGUCUUGACGGUACCUAAUCAGAAAGCCACGGCUAACUACGUG
This 497-nucleotide ribosomal RNA is filed under the name uncultured bacterium. Its description in RNAcentral is "partial 16S ribosomal RNA". It matches the Rfam family "Bacterial small subunit ribosomal RNA", at positions 28 to 507 of the family's 1533-position model. The record is from RNAcentral.